This 1057-nucleotide long non-coding RNA is filed under the name Androctonus crassicauda. The record is from RNAcentral. Lineage: Eukaryota; Metazoa; Arthropoda; Arachnida; Scorpiones; Buthidae.
CAGUUAGUUCCUUCCUUUUAAAAUUCCGUCUAAUCUCCACCGGUUAGUAAGAAGAUAUCAACUCUUACCAAUUGUUAUUUUAAGAAAAAUAAAAAUACUGUACUGAAGUUAACUAAGAUAUCGAUUGCUGGGAUUAGGACAAAAUUCUGCGUGAUCUACAAUAAAAUCUCGAGUAAAUUAAACAGGAAAGAUGCUAAAACUGCUCGUAAUAAAGGGGUUUGCGCUUCUCCCGGAAAGAGAGAGAGAGAAACUGAGGAAGAGAGAGAGAGAGUGAGAGAGAAGGAAAGAAAAAAAAAGAAAGAAAGUCGGUGGCGCAGAUCGAUUAGCGCGAAAUUGGAAAAAAGGGUAGUUUCUAUAGGUUCUUUAAGCGUUUCGGUAUGGCGACAAAUUUCAACUAGUUGGCACGACGACGAUGAUGAGCAAUGUUAGAGCAGCUGCUUUGAGUUGGAUUGGCCUUGGAUACACACCUGCCGUCUGCAACUAUGGUGUCAGUGGCGCCCUUCUUCUGGUGUCGCAACUGGAUUCGCAUCUGGCGGAAAUCGUAACACUUUCGGGGACGAACUCUUACUUCUUUACAGCUGUCCACAAGGACGGAGAAAGUGCAACAUUCGACCUCCGUCAUCCUAGAAAAAAAAAAAUAAAAACAUAAUAAUAAUAAUAAUAAUAAUAACAGAAAUAUAGAAAUAAAUAUAAGAGCGAGCGAGCGAGAGAGAGAGAGAGAGAGAGAUUGAGAGAGAGAAAAUCGCACAACUUUCCGUUGCAAGACGACACGUUGGAUUAUAUACUGGGAAUGCAUCCUAGAGGAUCGGCUCGUUUUAAAAUUAAAUGCAGCGAUUGCAAAAGCGAAAUCUGUUUUGCAAUUUUUACUUAAUGCUUGACCUACGGCACGGUUUUUGCAAUGUUAAAAUUUGUAUCGGCGUUUAAAAACACUCCAAAAUCGAUAAGAAAGCUCAAAACGCCCAAUUUUGUAUCGUCUACAAUUUAACCGAUUUGCUUAUCGAGAAUUUUUUUGCAGAACGUCUUAAAAAUUCUGCAAUUGCUAGCAUUAAAGUGUCAG